This 66-nucleotide transfer RNA is filed under the name Noctilio leporinus (greater bulldog bat). RNAcentral's name for it is "tRNA-Arg". It matches the Rfam family "tRNA". Rfam says of the family: Transfer RNA (tRNA) molecules are approximately 80 nucleotides in length. Their secondary structure includes four short double-helical elements and three loops (D, anti-codon, and T loops). Further hydrogen bonds mediate the characteristic L-shaped molecular structure. tRNAs have two regions of fundamental functional importance: the anti-codon, which is responsible for specific mRNA codon recognition, and the 3' end, to which the tRNAs corresponding amino acid is attached (by aminoacyl-tRNA synthetases). tRNAs cope with the degeneracy of the genetic code in two manners: having more than one tRNA (with a specific anti-codon) for a particular amino acid; and 'wobble' base-pairing, i.e. permitting non-standard base-pairing at the 3rd anti-codon position. Lineage: Eukaryota; Metazoa; Chordata; Mammalia; Chiroptera; Noctilionidae. The record is from RNAcentral.
GAUAUUUAGUUUAAAUAAAACAAGUGAUUUCGACUCACUAGAUUAUGAAUAAAUUCAUAAUUAUCA